ACAACCUUGGAUAUUAGUCCUAGGAAAGCUGUCUGCCUUCUUUUAGGCAGGGUUUCUCAUUCUUGGCUCCAGCUUUGCCAACAGGCCCGUGGUAUGUUGUUUGACAGAGGACAGGUUGGACACUUACAACUCACUUUGCCAUCAUUAUCUAGGUGGGUUUGGGUUGGCUCAGGAAUGGUGAAGAGGGAAGGGCUUAGCUACUAUAUAGACCAAAGAGACAGCAUGAGCAAUCUGGAAAGAAGUUGGGUACAGCUAGCUGGGUUGCUACAGUGACUUCAUCUGGGCCUGGAGCCCGAGGAGGGGCCUUGUAUCCAGUGCUUAUGGUGGGGUGGGUCGGAGUUCACUAUGAUGGAAGUCAUCAUUGAAUCUUUCUAACAAGCAGAGUUGUACUUCUGGGACCCUGCCCAGGUCUGUUUGAUUUGGGACACCAAACUGUUUGUGUAAGAUACUGGGUUUUUCCUGUGGGUGCAGUAUCAUCUGUGACUAGACUUUAAAACCUGCAGCCUCCUCAGAAGUCUAGCAGAACUUUAAUCACUUCAGAAUUUUAGUUUAGCACUUUAGAUUUUAGUUGUGAUAUUUCUUGGAAGUUAUCAGUCUUCUUACAAGCAGCAACUGGUUUGAAUAAAAAACCAAUAACCUUUCUUGGAGUCAUUAGGGAACUGAUUUGCAGGGCUCACUUUCCUCCCAGCACCUGCAGUGGUGAGUUCAGAGUAAGCCAAGACCUGAUAGCUACAGCAGAAGCCAUGACUAGUAGGAAAAGCAGGAGUAACUUUGGGUUUUGUUAUUGGGCUGUGACUGAGGAUAGGGCCUUGAACAUACUAGGCAUAUGAUCUACUACUGAGUUAUAUUGCUAGCUUUUUAUUCUUCAGACAGGGUUGAGUUUGAAUUCAGUGUAACCCAUGCGGGCCUUGAACUUGUGAUCCUUCUGCUUCAGUCUCCAGAGCUUCUGGAAUCACAUGUUUGCAUGACCAAGACUGGCACAUAGCCUUGACGAGUCCUGGAGGCUGACUGUCCACUAGGCACAGUGAGGGCCUGCUUCCUACAAAGGCGGUUCCUUGUUGGUUCUAAUGGUGAGCACUGAGAAGGCUCCUCCUAUAGCCGGGGCAGAAGAAUUUUGUAACAAAAGUAUCGUAGUAAAGCCUUCUACAAAUGAAGAGACUUCACCAAACCUACUUAUUUGGGCAAACAUAUUGCCCCCACCCAGUUUCCUUUUGCCUUCUCUGUCUGCCUUCUUUGUCUGAGGGAGAAGUAGGAAAUUAAGAAACAUAUUCAGGUCAUGGCUUGAGACAGCCUAAGAUCAUAGAAUCCAACCCUCUUUACCUUAUAUUCCCCUAGGGCUCCAGGAUAGAUAGUAAGAGGAUCACAGCUGCAAGAGACUGCAGAGGAGGACCCAGGAACUCCAAGCUUCUGAUAUCUAUUCCUACAGCAAACAGUCCUCACACUAGAGACUUCAGCACCUUAGUUUCUACUCCACACAUAGCCAGUGACUCAAAAUGGUUAGAAGCAUUCUAAAAGGUAAGCAAGUGACACUAGACUCAUGCCGGAAUUACCAGACAGUAAAUUUAACUGCAGGUUAUGCAUUACAGAGACUAAUAUGAAUAAACAAUGUGUAAGAACAGUUGGGUGGCAGGUACUGCUUUGAGUGUUGUGUGCGCUGUUGUUUGUUUAACAAAAUUCCAUUCAAUUUUACCAAUGAAAUCUCGGGAGCCAGAUGCUGGGGUGAAAGCCUGCUGGCUCAGAGAGGCAGAGGAAGCAUGCAGCUGACCUUCCUCCUCAGCCUAUCUCCCAGAAGGAGUGCUCCUCUGUCACACAGUCUCAAAACCUCCUUAAACUGAAUGUCCUUCCCUUCUAUCUUUUGCGUCUUUCUAUCCUCCUGAUUCCCUUUUUAGUGUCUGUGGAUUUCUCUUAAGACUCCUCUAUUCACUUCCUGUCAACUGGCUGCUGCUCCUCUUGAUCUGAGGUCGACUUUAUUUAAUCCUGUAUUUAAUCCUGUUUAAAAUAUUGAAGCAGAGAGCUUGGAUUAAAAGUGUAUGCUAAGGCUGAGCCAUACCACAGCCAAAAAGUUUUUUCCAGUAAACAACACAAUCUUGGGGUU
This 2095-nucleotide long non-coding RNA is filed under the name Rattus norvegicus (Norway rat). Its description in RNAcentral is "long non-coding RNA NONRATT020734". The record is from RNAcentral. Lineage: Eukaryota; Metazoa; Chordata; Mammalia; Rodentia; Muridae.